RNAcentral lists this non-coding RNA (80 nucleotides) under Suid alphaherpesvirus 1. Lineage: Duplodnaviria; Heunggongvirae; Peploviricota; Herviviricetes; Herpesvirales; Orthoherpesviridae. The record is from RNAcentral.
GGCUGGGCGCGAUCGAGGAGAUGUGGAGGGGUGCCAAGCGCCCGCCGCCCUCCCCCGCAUCUCUUCUCUCUCGCACACGC